GACGAACGCUGGCGGCGUGCUUAACACAUGCAAGUCGAACGCUGAAGCUCAGCUUUUGUUGGGUGGAUGAGUGGCGAACGGGUGAGUAACACGUGAGUAACCUGCCCCCUUCUUUGGGAUAACGUCCGGAGACGGGUGCUAAUACUGGAUAUUCACUGGUCUUCGCAUGGGGGUUGGUGGAAAGGGUUUUUCUGGUGGGGGAUGGGCUCGCGGCCUAUCAGCUUGUUGGUGGGGUGAUGGCCUACCAAGGCUUUGACGGGUAGCCGGCCUGAGAGGGUGACCGGUCACAUUGGGACUGAGAUACGGCCCAGACUCCUACGGGAGGCAGCAGUGGGGAAUAUUGCACAAUGGGCGCAAGCCUGAUGCAGCGACGCCGCGUGAGGGAUGGAGGCCUUCGGGUUGUGAACCUCUUUCGCUCAUGGUCAAGCCGCAACAAUGGUUGUGGUGAGGGUAGUGGGUAAAGAAGCGCCGGCUAACUACGUG
Molecule: ribosomal RNA, 483 nt
Filed under: uncultured bacterium
Lineage: Bacteria
Description: partial 16S ribosomal RNA
Rfam family: Bacterial small subunit ribosomal RNA
Source: RNAcentral